This 459-nucleotide long non-coding RNA is filed under the name Musa acuminata (dwarf banana). RNAcentral describes it as "long non-coding RNA (MACU_LNC003003)". The record is from RNAcentral. Lineage: Eukaryota; Viridiplantae; Streptophyta; Magnoliopsida; Zingiberales; Musaceae.
CCAGUGACUUCCAGAUUAUCAGGUAAAUCUGCUUUUUGUUCAACAUCAAUACGAGCAUCAGGGAAAUCCUCAUUAUUGCACAUGUCAGUAAGAUUCUGAAUGAGAUCAGGUGCUUUCACAGUAGUGUCCAUCUUACCUAAGUCAGGUUCUGUUUCUUCAGUAUCACUAUAUGUUUUAGAAGCCCCAACAUUAUCAGAUAAAUCUACGUUUUGUUCAACAUCAACACAAGCAUCUGGAAAAGGCAAAUUGCAUACUCCAGCAACACUCUGAAUGGGGUCAGGUGCAUUCACAUUAUGAUCCAUAUUAUGUAAGUCAGUUUCUGUUUCUUCAAUAUCUGUUUUAGGAGCUUCCACAUUAUCAGAUAAAUCCGCUUUUUCUAUAACAUCAAGGCAUGCUUUCAUAUUAUCAUCAGUUUUAUGAAGGUCUGCUACUGUUUCUUCAAUAUCACCAUAUGUUUCA